AAAACAUGCAAGUCGAACGAGAAAUCUCGGGCAACUGAGAGAGUAAAGUGGCGCACGGGUGAGUAACGCGUGGGUAAUCUGCCUUGGAGUUUGGAACAACACCUCGAAAGGGGUGCUAAUACCUGAUAUUAUUCCCGAGACUCUGGUCUUGGGGAUGAAAGAUGGCUGAGGCUUGCAAGCUAUUGCUCCAAGAUGAGCCCGCGUACCAUUAGCUAGUUGGUAGGGUAACGGCCUACCAAGGCAAUGAUGGUUAGCUGGUCUGAGAGGAUGGCCAGCCACACUGGAACUGAGAUACGGUCCAGACUCCUACGGGAGGCAGCAGUGAGGAAUCUUGCGCAAUGGGGGCAACCCUGACGCAGCAACGCCGCGUGAGUGAUGAAGGCCUUCGGGUCCUAAAGCUCUGU
This 404-nucleotide ribosomal RNA is filed under the name uncultured bacterium. Its description in RNAcentral is "bacterial SSU rRNA". It matches the Rfam family "Bacterial small subunit ribosomal RNA", at positions 50 to 436 of the family's 1533-position model. The record is from RNAcentral.